Molecule: long non-coding RNA, 6415 nt
Filed under: Sus scrofa (pig)
Lineage: Eukaryota; Metazoa; Chordata; Mammalia; Artiodactyla; Suidae
Description: lncRNA (ENSSSCG00000054856.1)
Source: RNAcentral
UUUUUUUUUUUUUUUUUAGGGCUGCACCUGCAGCAUAUAGAAGUUCCCAGGUCGAAUCAGAGCUACAGCUGCCGGCCUACACCACAGCCACAGCAACUCGGGAUCCGACCUAUACCACAGCUCAGGGCAAUGCCAGAUCCUUAACCCACUGAGAGGGGCCAGGGAUCGAACCCCCAUCCUCAUGGAUCCUAGUCGGGUUUGUUAACCACUGAGCCAUGAAGGGAACUCCAAAUUAUCUUCUUAAUUGUAGAGAAUUUCCGGGGGGGGGGGGAACCUGAAAAAAGGCUAAACCAUGGCUUUGAUGAGUCUCAAGGACCACAGAUCCAUCACGUCCUAUUAGAAGACUUAGCCCCCCUGGAGAGUUCUAGCCUUCACAGGACACUCGAUAACAAGACCCCACAGGGCUCCACACAACUGCACCAAGAAUACCUCCACCGCUGCCCGUGGCUGAUUCUUUGGACCACGCGGUCCUGCUGGCACACAGGGCAACUCUUCUGGUGCACCCAGAGACAUGCAGCAGUUGUGGAAGGAAUGGUUACAUUCCACCACCCCCCCCCCCCCCCCGCCGCCACAACACAAUCCUCCCGUUUUCGGCUUAACAUCUAAGCCAGGCAUCCCUCACCUGGACCCUGCAGACGGCGGCGCACGUGUCGCCCUCCACGUCCCAGCUCCACGUGGCCACCGCGUUCCACGUCUCGGAGGGAACAUUUUGCCGCCUCCCGACGCGGUCCCUGCGCUCCCUCCGACGGGACGCGGAGCUCCUGGGCGUCUUCCACGUCGCCCUCGGAGGCUGCGGAGGCUGCGCGAUGCCGGCAACGGAGACGUGAGGUCGCAGGAGGCGGGCGACUACGGCGGCUCCCUGGGGCCGCCCGACCAGCCAAAGCGCCGCCGGCAGACUGCAGGCCACCGUGGGGCCACGAUGCCCCCCACCACACACACACUCCAAAGAUUAUUAUUUCCUCUCCCUGUUCCCGUAAGAGUAGACUGACAUUGGUGUAAAGAACUGGCCCGUCUUCCAGCAGCGGUAUGACGGCCUUGGUUUUCGGGAUGCUAUGGGGAACCCACGUCGCCUUGCUCUUCUGUCUCCCUCGCCGUUGGCACCAGCCUCAUACCAUCCCAUCACCUGCUUAUUGCCAUUGCUACUAAUCACUCUCUACUCUUCUCUGGACCCGCUCUGAUUUAUUCUCCACUCAGCAGAAGGGGGGCUUUUAAAUUAAACCUCAAGUCUCAUCGUUUUAUUUCACUGUUGAAAAACCUUUAAUAACUUCUCAUUGUUCUUGGGGAUAAAGACCAACCCGGCCACUGAGGUUCCCGGGCCUUGCGCACUCUGGCCCCGCUGAGCUCCCAGCUGCCUCGCUCCUGACUCUCCUCCUCCUCCCUCUGGGCCACUCUGGACUUCGCGGACACCCCAUGGCUCCUCCUGCCUGGAUGGAGGCCUUGUAGCCAUGCCCUUCAGGCCAUUCUCAGUCUCUUCCCCCUAGAGCCCUGUCAAAUCCGAAAAAGAAAUUCUUCAUGAUUGUAUUAAAAGCUUGUCGUUAAUUACAGAAGAAUGAACAUACCGGCAAUGUUUACUCUUCUCACUCAGGAGUGGGGUUCUCCACUUAUUCAUACUUUCGUAUCACUUAGCAGAGUUCUAUAAUUUUCUUCUAAGAUCCAUUCAGUUCUUACUAGAAUUAUCCUUAGGUUUUGUUGCUCUUUGCGACUGGAGUCUUUCUUCCCAUGCAGAGCGGGAUGCGAUCCAGUUUCUUUGUUUUAUUGAAUCUAUGUUUCUAAAGCAGAGACGACACAGAGGAGAAAAGAGCAAGUCUUUCCACCUACAGUUACUUACAUGCACUCACCUGUUUAGGCGAUGAUUUAACGAUAACUGAUUGGCAUUUUCACUGGUCUUGAAUUCAGUACAAUUUCCCCUUGAUGUUACCACUAAUGUGCCAGGCAGUCCUAAUUUUAGUUUUCUUCUUGCUUGGGCAUUCUUAGGUACUCUAGUAAGAAUUUGCAAGAGUCACCUUGGGAACUCACCAAAUUUCAUUGUGUAGCAAAUGUUUUGUUCUCACGGCGUUUUCAAACAGGUCCCGGCUCUCCCAGAAUACUUUCAUGGCUAUGUGUAUUUUGCCAUAUUAUCCGCAGUGAUAUCUUGACCGAUUGUGCCAAACAUUUUCCUAAAACCAAGAAAUGCUCAUUCUGUGUUACUCCUCUGACCUCCCAGCUCAGUAAAAUGCUUUCAUAAAAGAUGAGGUUAGUCUGGCAUGAGUUAUUCCUGGUGAUUCCAUGUCUUCUAGAGUCAACACAUUCCUUUCAAAGUGUUCAUAAGACAUCUGCUUUAAAUUCAUUCUAUAAUUUAACCAAACAUUGACCGAAGUUAGUAGUCUGUAGUUUCUGGGGUUCACCCCUUUUCCUAACUUGUAACAUUUACUUGACAUUAACUUUUUGAUUCUUGUUGUACAUGAUUUUUUCUUUAACAAAUUACCAGUCGCAGUGUAAUCAGUGACUCCCUGAUUACAUAUUUGAAUUCCUCCAGCACCAGGGAGGAAACUUGGCUGCACCUGAAGACGUAAACUUACGGCGUGAAUUAAGGCUCCCUCUCCAUUUCCAGACAUUUGUUAUAUAGAUUGUGCUCCUCUGUUAGAAUCCAGGGACUCUCCAGAGAACCAGCAGCUGUGGGGAUGUUCUUGUCUUUACCAGGAAAACUGUCUUAAACCCGCACAGAAAAUAAAGUGUUUUCUGACUUGGAAUCAACAACGGCAUCCAGACUCAUGCAGGCGGGGUUCACUCUGGAUGCUCUUCCUGGCUUUGAAAUUUCUGAGCUUCAUCGCCUCCCUGUUUCCUCUUGCCAAAACUGCCCAUGCGCCAUGCCCAUUUUGAAUUUCCACCUCAGACUUCUGGAUUUAUGUCUUGUCCCUAAUGCUUGAAUGGGACCUGGCAUGAGGGCCUUAGACACAUGCCCCUGUCCUGCUGUAUCUGGAUGAGCCAUCCCACAGCCAGCUCUUAGGUCUCUAUGCCACACCCCCUCUGGCCUGCCCUGUCCUCACUGCCAGUAGGGGUUCCACUGUACUUUCUCUCCAUGGCGUCACUCUGGGCAGCAGGGGCCCCAGGUGUCUUUCCCAGGCUCCAUGUAUCUUUGUCAAGCCAGCAUGCUCUGCAGACUGCAUGGCUCUACUACAUCCCGGACUAAGGUACCAUUCCCCACCCACCUCCUCCCUGGUCAAUUCAGUUCUUGUCAGAAGAUGCUGUUUGGCUUCUUUGCACCACACAGACUGGACCUGGCCACAUGUUGAAAAUUAAUAAAUGUUUAUUGAAAUGAUUUAAGUAACAACGAUCUCUCUGCCUUCAUUUUGAGGAAAGCUCUGUAAGUUUUGCAGCUGCCCAUUUUCACAAACCAGGUGUAUUCUCCUGAAGCACAGGAGAUCCAUUUCGGCUCCAUUCAUGAUCAAUGCUGAGACACAGCUCUCUCUCCCACUGUCCUCAGCCCCUUCAACCGAUGUAAUUUCGACCUGGACACUCCAGCUGUGCUCAGUGUCCUUUGGGCCCACUGUCCUAGUGCCCAGAACCUCCCUGACCCCCAGGACGGGACACACUCAUGGAAGUCAUACUGUGGCUUAGCCAGGAGACUCCAGGUAUCAUGCAGGUAUUUACCUGCUGUGGGUUCAAAGGAUAACAACCAAAGGUAUCAGAAGUAAGGCAACUCCCAAGAUCCAGGGGAAAACACAGAAGCUGAGUGAGACAUUCCUGUCCAGCCCCACAGGACUGCUAGACUCUGAUGCAUAGGACACGCAUUUCAUUCCAUUGCGUAGGCUUCUGGUGGGGACCAGACUAUGCCUCACUUUAUGAGCCCGUUCCACCCAUUCUCCCACCCCACCCUCAGAUCAGCCAAGCGAUCUUCAAGAUAUCAUCAGAAGUUCUCCAUCACUAGAGUAACUGUGGAUAAUCAGCAGGAUAUUAGGUAUCGUAGCUUGUUGGCUUUUAUUUGCCAGUAAGGAUGUGAGCAGUAUAAAAAAAUUAACUCAUUUCUUUUUAUAAAAGAAUAUAUAAUUUUAUCAAAUAAUUUAAAAUCAUUUUAUUACAUCUAUAUAGUAAGUUUAUGAAAGAUGAGCUCUUAUCUACUAAUUACUCACAUAUUCAAUUUUAGCCUAAUCUACUAUAGCCAAAGGUACUCAGAAACAGUACACAGCUGCCCUCUUGUGUCACUUUAAUAUAAUUAAACCUACUAGUGUUUAAAUACUAGGAUUCAAUUAACCAAGCAUUUUUAAAGGUCACCAUGUAUCACUAUUUUUCUACUUCUGAAAUUAAUAUUCUAAAUGGUAAUUUACAAAGCACACUAUGUAAAAAUCUGCCAGCCCUAUCGAUUACACAGAACUUACUGGCAUAAAUAUCUAAAUAUUUUAAAAGUAAUAGAAUUAUUCUACCCAGAUCUUCUCCUAACCCAAUACCUAGGAGCCUUUACAGGCCUUUGUAUUAUCUCAUCAUAUUUAAUUAGUGCUCAAUUAAUAUUUAACCCGCUCUUAUUGAGUGCAUGGAUUUGCACUCAUCUUUUGUCCUGGCCACUCAAUGGCCCCACAGAAGAUGAAAUGGAAGAGGCUUCUCUUAUAAUAUUUGACAAGAGCAUCCCCACAGCGGGCCACUCUGGUCUCUGCUGCCACUAAGCACAUAGUACGAGAUAAGUUCUGUGCAAGGUUCUUUUACAAGCAGAAUAUACAGAACAUGCAUGAAAGGGAAAGCUUAUCUCUCCCGAACAGAUGGAGAAACCCCAGCACAGGAGUUAGGGAGCACCUUCAAAGAGCUGAAGGUGGUGUCAUUCUUUAGACUGGACCUGCCAACCUAGACAACAGCUCUUUCUUUGGCUUCCCUCCACCCCGAUAAACCAUCUCCAUGAGUUCCAGGUCUGUCAGCCACUCAGCAUCCUGAAACCAAUCUGCUGAAAGUGAGAGGAAGCUUAGACAACACAGGUAAGUGCAUCAUCAGUGUUGACACGAAUGGAUGCUCUGUUUCCUCAGUAAGCUGUUGUGUUUCCUUAGUAAGUGCUCCACGCUUCUAGCUCUGUAUAAUGCGUUUCUAUGUUUAGAAAGAGUGGAUAUAAAGGCUGAAAGCAAGCCAUAUUGUUUCGGGGAAAUCAGGGACUGCACUUGCACAGGUCAACACUGACUUGGUGACUACGCACCAGGACCAGGUAGAGAGAGGAUCCAGCAGGGAUGCAAGAGGACGGACCAACUGUGCGGUCUCAGUCCCCCACCUCCUGGGAGGGGGAACUUUGAGGAAACUUCAAAGACAGACGCGGAAAUAAGACACAGUGAAGAUAACACCAACUGAGGUCCAGCAUUCCGUGACUAUCAUCCGCUGUGCACUGGGGGUACAAGGGGGAGGUUCUGGGGAGGCCUUGGAGGUGAGAUGAGGGAUGUGGGGUGAGGAGGGGACCACACCUCCACAUCCGGUGGAUAUCCACACCCCCUCCAGCAGAGCAGGUGUGGGCUUCCUCUGAAGAGGGCAAUGAGUGAAGCUGAUCCUGACACCUUGAUGCCAACCUGAGAGAGAAGAGGUGGGAAAUCUUCCUUCUUCAGAGUGUAACUGAGCAACAGUGACCGGGGCCUGCAGCAGUGGGUUGCCUGGCUCAAGAUCAUUACCAAGUGUUGGAGUCAGAGCAGGAGAGACCCAGGGGCACAGCCUCACUGCAGAGCCGAGCAUCUUGAGGCAGUGCAGUGCAACAAGAAAACCAGGAGCGUUGAAAUCCUAAGUCCUAGACUCCUGACCCCACCCUAGAUCUAACUGCUGAGUGCACUGGGGCCAGUCAGCUCACUUUUCGAUUCUAAUUUCAUCUUUCAAAUGUCUUCCUCGGGCACUCAGACAGUCCCUCCCUUCUUCAAGCCCUCUAAACUCAGUCACUUCCAAGUUACAACCAAAGUGUGUCUGGCCACUCCCAAGUAGUGACUUUUUCAUUCUUAUCAUGGGUUGAACUUCCCCCCCGCCCCCGCCCGCCAAAUUUAUAUGUUGAAGCCAUAACCCCCCAGCAUCUCAAAAUGUGACUAUAUUUGGAUGUAAGUUCUUUUAUUUAUUUAUUUAUUUUGGCCAUGUCUGUGGCAUGCAGAAAUUCCCAGGCCAGGGAUCGAACCUGAGACACAGCGGUGACCAGAACCCCAGCAGUGAUAAUAACGGAUCACUAACCUGCUAAGCCACCAGGAAACACCUAUAAAGUCUUUAAAGAGGUAAUUAAUGGGGUGAUGAGUUGGGUCAUAAUCCAGUAGGACUGGUGUCCUUACGAGAAGAGGAAAUUUGGACACAGACAGAUAUGGAGGGAAGACCAUGUGAAGACCCAGCGGGAAGGUGGCCAUCCACAGACCAAGGAGAGACACCUCUGAGGAAAGCAACCCUGCUCAGACCCGGCUCUCACACUUCCAGCCUCCAGCGAGUGAGAAAAUAAAUGUCUGCU